Molecule: ribosomal RNA, 800 nt
Filed under: uncultured bacterium
Lineage: Bacteria
Description: bacterial SSU rRNA
Rfam family: Bacterial small subunit ribosomal RNA
Source: RNAcentral
AGAGUUUGAUCCUGGCUCAGGAUGAACGCUGGCGGCGUGCUUAACACAUGCAAGUCGAACGGGAAUUACUUUAUUGAAACUUCGGUCGAUUUAAUUUAAUUCUAGUGGCGGACGGGUGAGUAACGCGUGGGUAACCUGCCUUAUACAGGGGGAUAACAGUCAGAAAUGGCUGCUAAUACCGCAUAAGCGCACAGAGCUGCAUGGCUCGGUGUGAAAAACUCCGGUGGUAUAAGAUGGACCCGCGUUGGAUUAGCUUGUUGGUGGGGUAACGGCCCACCAAGGCGACGAUCCAUAGCCGGCCUGAGAGGGUGAACGGCCACAUUGGGACUGAGACACGGCCCAGACUCCUACGGGAGGCAGCAGUGGGGAAUAUUGCACAAUGGGGGAAACCCUGAUGCAGCGACGCCGCGUGAAGGAAGAAGUAUCUCGGUAUGUAAACUUCUAUCAGCAGGGAAGAUAAUGACGGUACCUGACUAAGAAGCCCCGGCUAACUACGUGCCAGCAGCCGCGGUAAUACGUAGGGGGCAAGCGUUAUCCGGAUUUACUGGGUGUAAAGGGAGCGUAGACGGCGCAGCAAGUCUGAUGUGAAAGGCAGGGGCUUAACCCCUGGACUGCAUUGGAAACUGCUGUGCUUGAGUGCCGGAGGGGUAAGCGGAAUUCCUAGUGUAGCGGUGAAAUGCGUAGAUAUUAGGAGGAACACCAGUGGCGAAGGCGGCUUACUGGACGGUAACUGACGUUGAGGCUCGAAAGCGUGGGGAGCAAACAGAAUGAGAUACCCUGGUAGUCCACGCCGUAAACGA